This 486-nucleotide ribosomal RNA is filed under the name uncultured bacterium. Its description in RNAcentral is "bacterial SSU rRNA". It matches the Rfam family "Bacterial small subunit ribosomal RNA", at positions 19 to 518 of the family's 1533-position model. The record is from RNAcentral.
CUGGCUCAGAACGAACGCUGGUGGCGUGUCUUAUACAUGCAAGUCGAGCGAGGCAGCAAUGCCUAGCGGCGAACGGGUGAGUAACGCGUAAGCAAUCUGCCCCAUAUCAGGAAAUACCCGUGCCAACGCGCGGUUAAUGUCCAGGAGCGUGGCCUUCCGCAUGGGAGGUUGACAAGAGAUUUAUCGGUAUGGGAUGAGCUUGCGUCCGAUUAGCUAGUUGGCGGGGCAACGGCCCACCAAGGCGACGAUCGGUAGCCGGCCUGAGAGGGUGAUCGGCCACAUUGGGACUGAGAUACGGCCCAGACUCCUACGGGAGGCAGCAGUAGGGAAUAUUGCACAACGGGGGAAACCCUGAUGCAGCAACGCCACGUGUGGGAAGAAGCAUUUCGGUGUGUAAACCACUGUCGUGAGGGAAUAAGGCGUCUUCUCGGAGACGUUGAAUGUACCUCGAAAGGAAGCACCGGCAAACUUCGUGCCAGCAGCUGC